AAUAUACUCCCUCGGUCUAAAAUAACUUGUCAUAGAAAUAAAUGUUUUUAGACGUAUUUUAGUUCUGAAUACAUUCACUUUUUUUAUUUUGACGAUAAGUAAUUUCGGACGAAGGGAGUAGAUA
Molecule: microRNA precursor, 124 nt
Filed under: Hordeum vulgare
Lineage: Eukaryota; Viridiplantae; Streptophyta; Magnoliopsida; Poales; Poaceae
Description: microRNA MIR1122
Rfam family: MIR1120/MIR1122 microRNA precursor family
Source: RNAcentral